Small nucleolar RNA from Fukomys damarensis (Damara mole-rat), 214 nucleotides. Its record names the gene U3. It matches the Rfam family "Small nucleolar RNA U3". Rfam says of the family: Small nucleolar RNAs (snoRNAs) are involved in the processing and modification of rRNA in the nucleolus. The record is from Ensembl. NCBI's taxonomy places the organism in Eukaryota, Metazoa, Chordata, Mammalia, Rodentia, Bathyergidae.
AAGACCAUACUUUCAGAGAUAAUUUUGAUAGUUCACUGGACACAUAGAGAAGUUUCACUGGGCACAGAGGACACUGGAAACCAUGAGAAGAGGCUGCUUUCUCUCUAAACAUGAAGCCAGAGUUUGGUGUUGUUUGCCUGCAAGUGCCAUUUUCCACUGAUAAUUGUUCUCUUCUUUUGAGAGAGUAAGAGAGGGAGGACAUAGUCUGAGUGGU